UUGAAAAAUUAGCGGAUGACCUGUGGCUGGGGGUGAAAGGCCAAUCAAACCGGGAGAUAGCUGGUUCUCCCCGAAAGCUAUUUAGGUAGCGCCUCGUGAACUCAUCUCCGGGGGUAGAGCACUGUUUCGGCUAGGGGGCCAUCCCGGCUUACCAACCCGAUGCAAACUGCGAAUACCGGAGAAUGUUAUCACGGGAGACACACGGCGGGUGCUAACGUCCGUCGUGAAGAGGGAAACAACCCAGACCGCCAGCUAAGGUCCCAAAGUCAUGGUUAAGUGGGAAACGAUGUGGGAAGGCCCAGACAGCCAGGAUGUUGGCUUAGAAGCAGCCAUCAUUUAAAGAAAGCGUAAUAGCUCACUGGUCGAGUCGGCCUGCGCGGAAGAUGUAACGGGGCUAAACCAUGCACCGAAGCUGCGGCAGCGACGCUUAUGCGUUGUUGGGUAGGGGAGCGUUCUGUAAGCCGUUGAAGGUGUGCUGUGAGGCAUGCUGGAGGUAUCAGAAGUGCGAAUGCUGACAUAAGUAACGAUAAAGCGGGUGAAAAGCCCGCUCGCCGGAAGACCAAGGGUUCCUGUCCAACGUUAAUCGGGGCAGGGUGAGUCGACCCCUAAGGCGAGGCCGAAAGGCGUAGUCGAUGGGAAACAGGUUAAUAUUCCUGUACUUGGUGUUACUGCGAAGGGGGGACGGAGAAGGCUAUGUCGGCCGGGCGACGGUUGUCCCGGUUUAAGCGUGUAGGUGUGUGCUCCAGGCAAAUCCGGUGCACUUUAACACUGAGGCGUGAUGACGAGGCACUACGGUGCUGAAGUGACAAAUGCCCUGCUUCCAGGAAAAGCCUCUAAGCAUCAGGUAACAUCAAAUCGUACCCCAAACCGACACAGGUGGUCAGGUAGAGAAUACCAAGGCGCUUGAGAGAACUCGGGUGAAGGAACUAGGCAAAAUGGUGCCGUAACUUCGGGAGAAGGCACGCUGAUAUGUAGGUGAAGUGGUUUACCCAUGGAGCUGAAAUCAGUCGAAGAUACCAGCUGGCUGCAACUGUUUAUUAAAAACACAGCACUGUGCAAACACGAAAGUGGACGUAUACGGUGUGACGCCUGCCCGGUGCCGGAAGGUUAAUUGAUGGGGUUAUCCCUCGGGAGAAGCUCUUGAUCGAAGCCCCGGUAAACGGCGGCCGUAACUAUAACGGUCCUAAGGUAGCGAAAUUCCUUGUCGGGUAAGUUCCGACCUGCACGAAUGGCGUAAUGAUGGCCAGGCUGUCUCCACCCGAGACUCAGUGAAAUUGAACUCGCUGUGAAGAUGCAGUGUACCCGCGGCAAGACGGAAAGACCCCGUGAACCUUUACUAUAGCUUGACACUGAACACUGGUCCUUGAUGUGUAGGAUAGGUGGGAGGCUUUGAAGUGUGGACGCCAGUCUGCAUGGAGCCGCCCUUGAAAUACCACCCUUUAAUGGCUGGUGUUCUAACGUGGGCCCGUAAUCCGGGUUGCGGACAGUGUCUGGUGGGUAGUUUGACUGGGGCGGUCUCCUCCUAAAGAGUAACGGAGGAGCACGAAGGUCAGCUAAUCCUGGUCGGACAUCAGGAGGUUAGUGCAAUGGCAUAAGCUGGCUUGACUGCGAGCGUGACGGCGCGAGCAGGUGCGAAAGCAGGUCAUAGUGAUCCGGUGGUUCUGAAUGGAAGGGCCAUCGCUCAACGGAUAAAAGGUACUCCGGGGAUAACAGGCUGAUACCGCCCAAGAGUUCAUAUCGACGGCGGUGUUUGGCACCUCGAUGUCGGCUCAUCACAUCCUGGGGCUGAAGUAGGUCCCAAGGGUAUGGCUGUUCGCCAUUUAAAGUGGUACGCGAGCUGGGUUUAGAACGUCGUGAGACAGUUCGGUCCCUAUCUGCCGUGGGCGCUGGAGAACUGAGGGGGGCUGCUCCUAGUACGAGAGGACCGGAGUGGACGCAUCACUGGUGUUCGGGUUGUCAUGCCAAUGGCACUGCCCGGUAGCUAAAUGCGGAAGAGAUAAGUGCUGAAAGCAUCUAAGCACGAAACUUGCCCCGAGAUGAGUUCUCCCUGACUCCUUGAGAGUCCUGAAGGAACGUUGAAGACGACGACGUUGAUAGGCCGGGUGUGUAAGCGCAGCGAUGCGUUGAGCUAACCGGUACUAAUGAACCGUGAGGCUUAACCUU
RNAcentral lists this ribosomal RNA (2163 nucleotides) under Citrobacter koseri. Its description in RNAcentral is "partial 23S ribosomal RNA". It matches the Rfam family "Bacterial large subunit ribosomal RNA", at positions 789 to 2925 of the family's 2925-position model. The record is from RNAcentral. Lineage: Bacteria; Pseudomonadati; Pseudomonadota; Gammaproteobacteria; Enterobacterales; Enterobacteriaceae.